RNAcentral lists this unclassified non-coding RNA (200 nucleotides) under uncultured Penicillium. RNAcentral's name for it is "sequence contains ITS2". Lineage: Eukaryota; Fungi; Ascomycota; Eurotiomycetes; Eurotiales; Aspergillaceae. The record is from RNAcentral.
UUAAGUUCAGCGGGUAUCCCUACCUGAUCCGAGGUCAACCUGGAUAAAAAUUUGGGUUGAUCGGCAAGCGCCGGCCGGGCCUACAGAGCGGGUGACAAAGCCCCAUACGCUCGAGGACCGGACGCGGUGCCGCCGCUGCCUUUCGGGCCCGUCCCCCGGAAUCGGAGGACGGGGCCCAACACACAAGCCGGGCUUGAGGG